This is a long non-coding RNA of Micropterus dolomieu (smallmouth bass), 518 nucleotides long. RefSeq lists it as uncharacterized. Lineage: Eukaryota; Metazoa; Chordata; Actinopteri; Centrarchiformes; Centrarchidae. The transcript has 2 exons. The record is from RefSeq and is a predicted model, not a curated record.
GCAUCAUUCCCCCACAGGCUCCCCUAGUCCAGACACCAUCCUUCCCCCCGGUUGCGUGGUGGCAGCCGUUACCUGGAAGAUUGAGUCGGCAGAGAGGGAGGCACAAAGAACACACCCCGAUCCAGUAACCGGAGAACUCUGAGAACUCUCUACUCAAGAGGAGACCGCCAAGGUGGACCGCCAUGGAGUCGUACACAAUUCCUUUAGUCCAGCAUCAUCUCCACCACUGCCGCAGGGUGUGGAGGAAGACCCUUCUCUUAUUCGCUGAGAACAACCGUCUCCUGGCUGACCUGCACUGACUCCCAGCUCCUGAGUACAGACAAGGUCAGAAUGUUUGGUUGUCUUCCAGAAAUAUUCCCCUGAGAACUGUGUCAAGUUAUCACCUCGCUUUCUUGGCCCCUUUGUCAUCGAGAAGGUACAACAUUCCCACGUCUAACCUGAGACCCCUGCUCUGUCCAGCCAGCUCGCUUCCUCCCCAUUCCUGUUACCUGUGUUUAGAAUAAACCUGAGUUACCGUU